ACGGGUGAGUAACGCGUGGGUAACCUACCCUGUACACACGGAUAACAUACCGAAAGGUAUGCUAAUACGGGAUAAUAUAUUUGAGAGGCAUCUCUUAAAUAUCAAAGGUGAGCCAGUACAGGAUGGACCCGCGUCUGAUUAGCUAGUUGGUAAGGUAACGGCUUACCAAGGCGACGAUCAGUAGCCGACCUGAGAGGGUGAUCGGCCACAUUGGAACUGAGACACGGUCCAAACUCCUACGGGAGGCAGCAGUGGGGAAUAUUGCACAAUGGGCGAAAGCCUGAUGCAGCAACGCCGCGUGAGUGAUGAAGGCCUUCGGGUCGUAAAACUCUGUCCUCAAGGAAGAUAAUGAUGGUACUUGAGGAGGAAGCCCCGGCUAACUACGUGCCAGCAGCCGCGGUAAUACGUAGGGGGCUAGCGUUAUCCGGAUUUACUGGGCGUAAAGGGUGCGUAGGCGGUCUUUCAAGUCAGGAGUGAAAGGCUACGGCUCAACCGUAGUAAGCUCUUGAAACUGGGAGACUUGAGUGCAGGAGAGGAGAGUGGAAUUCCUAGUGUAGCGGUGAAAUGCGUAGAUAUUAGGAGGAACACCAGUUGCGAAGGCGGCUCUCUGGACUGUAACUGACGCUGAGGCACGAAAGCGUGGGGAGCAAACAGGAUUAGAUACCCUGGUAGUCCACGCUGUAAA
This 685-nucleotide ribosomal RNA is filed under the name uncultured bacterium. RNAcentral describes it as "bacterial SSU rRNA". It matches the Rfam family "Bacterial small subunit ribosomal RNA", at positions 102 to 806 of the family's 1533-position model. The record is from RNAcentral.